RNAcentral lists this ribosomal RNA (253 nucleotides) under uncultured bacterium. Its description in RNAcentral is "partial 16S ribosomal RNA". It matches the Rfam family "Bacterial small subunit ribosomal RNA", at positions 524 to 776 of the family's 1533-position model. The record is from RNAcentral.
CACGUAGGCACCAAGCGUUGUCCGGAUUUAUUGGGCGUAAAGCGCGCGCAGGCGGUCUCUUAAGUCUGAUGUGAAAGCCCCCGGCUCAACCGGGGAGGGUCAUUGGAAACUGGGAGACUUGAGUGCAGAAGAGAAGAGUGGAAUUCCACGUGUAGCGGUGAAAUGCGUAGAGAUGUGGAGGAACACCAGUGGCGAAGGCGACUCUUUGGUCUGUAACUGACGCUGAGACGCGAAAGCGUGGGGAGCAAACAGG